This 240-nucleotide unclassified non-coding RNA is filed under the name soil metagenome. RNAcentral's name for it is "partial contains 5.8S ribosomal RNA, internal transcribed spacer 2, and large subunit ribosomal RNA". The record is from RNAcentral.
AACUGAUACUACCUGCGGGAACCUGCGGAGGGAUCAUUAUAGAAAAACAGUGAUUUCAAUAAGUUGCGGGGGGGAGAGGAGAGAAGGGGGUUGUUCAUACUCUGCACUUUUCCCUCUCUCUUGAUCCCUUGCUUCUUCAAACAAACUAUCGCAACUAGAAUAAUUGUUUGGGUCAUAAGGGGUGACCGUGACUUGGUUGGACACACACAAGAAAAGUGUUUGCCUGAUAUCUGAGCUUUU